AUCGUUACUGGAGAGGGAGGUUAUGUCUAUUCACAUCCAUAUGAUCUUGGUGCAUAUGAGAAUUUGAUAGCAGUUCUUGGUCCAAAUGUCCUUUGCUGGCUGUUGCCCUCCACAAAACAUAUAGACUCUGGCCUUCGUUUUCGGACAUCAUUUGAUAACGUACCGAGGACACCUGUAUCAAAAUGAAAUGUUUCUUCUUACAGCAGAGAUGUAAAGUGUUUGAUCACCAAAGCAUUUUGGUGCAGUUGUGUAAGUGUAACUAGCUCCACUCUUCGUGUAAAGGAGCUAACAAGAACCCUGUUUCAAACUGCCAAACGAUACAACACGGAGGCAGUCAUCAACUUUUUUGUAUUCUAACAGUUGUAAGAGAUGUUCAG
This 377-nucleotide unclassified non-coding RNA is filed under the name Hevea brasiliensis (rubber tree). The record is from RNAcentral. Lineage: Eukaryota; Viridiplantae; Streptophyta; Magnoliopsida; Malpighiales; Euphorbiaceae.